RNAcentral lists this unclassified non-coding RNA (357 nucleotides) under Hevea brasiliensis (rubber tree). Lineage: Eukaryota; Viridiplantae; Streptophyta; Magnoliopsida; Malpighiales; Euphorbiaceae. The record is from RNAcentral.
GAUCCGAAAACGUAAUCCCAAGUGUCCUGAAGUGUCGCCAAAAACCUCUCCCCAUCCUCCAAAAGCCCUAGCGACCUACAUAGGAGAACUCAACACAGCAACCUCAAAUUUUUUUGAUUUUCCUUACAAGAACAGAGGCAUACCUGACAUUUUUCCAAGAAAGAUUGAAUUUUUCUUUGCACCCUUAAGAGAACACAGAAUGGGUGAAAGAGAAAGCAGUUCAUUUGUACCAGAAUCAGUCAUGGACUCUACGAAGACUACCUUGGCCAACCUAGAACAACUGCAGACCCACUUGCUUCAGUUCCUCUCUCUUUCUGACCCUGAAGUCCUCGCCGAGAUGCCCCCUCUCCAACGCGC